GAUCCUGGCUCAGGAUGAACGCUAGCUACAGGCUUAACACAUGCAAGUCGAGGGGCAGCGGGAUUGAAGCUUGCUUCAAUUGCCGGCGACCGGCGCACGGGUGAGUAACGCGUAUCCAACCUUCCGUACACUCAGGGAUAGCCUUUCGAAAGAAAGAUUAAUACCUGAUGGUAUCUUAAGCACACAUGUAAUUAAGAUUAAAGAUUUAUCGGUGUACGAUGGGGGUGCGUUCCAUUAGGUAGUAGGCGGGG
This 251-nucleotide ribosomal RNA is filed under the name uncultured bacterium. Its description in RNAcentral is "partial 16S ribosomal RNA". It matches the Rfam family "Bacterial small subunit ribosomal RNA", at positions 15 to 257 of the family's 1533-position model. The record is from RNAcentral.